UGCCUUGAGGCGUGGCUUCCGGAGCUAACGCGUUAAGUCGACCGCCUGGGGAGUACGGCCGCAAGGUUAAAACUCAAAUGAAUUGACGGGGGCCCGCACAAGCGGUGGAGCAUGUGGUUUAAUUCGAUGCAACGCGAAGAACCUUACCUACUCUUGACAUCCACGGAAUUUAGCAGAGAUGCUUUAGUGCCUUCGGGAACCGUGAGACAGGUGCUGCAUGGCUGUCGUCAGCUCGUGUUGUGAAAUGUUGGGUUAAGUCCCGCAACGAGCGCAACCCUUAUCCUUUGUUGCCAGCGGUUAGGCCGGGAACUCAAAGGAGACUGCCAGUGAUAAACUGGAGGAAGGUGGGGAUGACGUCAAGUCAUCAUGGCCCUUACGAGUAGGGCUACACACGUGCUACAAUGGCGUAUACAAAGAGAAGCGACCUCGCGAGAGCAAGCGGACCUCAUAAAGUACGUCGUAGUCCGGAUUGGAGUCUGCAACUCGACUCCAUGAAGUCGGAAUCGCUAGUAAUCGUAGAUCAGAAUGCUACGGUGAAUACGUUCCCGGGCCUUGUACUCCCCGCCCGUCAA
Molecule: ribosomal RNA, 572 nt
Filed under: Enterobacterales bacterium
Lineage: Bacteria; Pseudomonadati; Pseudomonadota; Gammaproteobacteria; Enterobacterales
Description: bacterial SSU rRNA
Rfam family: Bacterial small subunit ribosomal RNA
Source: RNAcentral